CUUGGACAAUUAAAAAAACAAAGGAAGCUCAGGGACAGUGCCCAAGCCCUGAGUUCAAACCCCAGGACUGGCAAAAACAAAAACCACCAAGGGGGAAGCACAAAGAAAGGGAUUACUGCUCUAAGAUUUCCAGUUCCAGUUCUUAAGCCAUUGCAUGUGUGCUGUCUUGUCACCAAGACCACCAGGCUCUCAUUCUCCAAGAAUAAAUAAGCCCUUUCUUAAGGCCUGAUAUAAACCACCACAAUUAAAAUGUCUACCGUUGCUAAUCAACAAAAUAGAAGAAACACAUGUAUUUUUUACUUUGAGAGAAUUUGGAGAAAAAUCAGCAGAUUUCCUAAGGAAACAACUUUUGUGUGGUGUGAAAAGGGCCUCCUUGUUUCCACAUUGGAAGCCCUUGAAAAACCUGUACUAGCACCAUUCUCCAGCCCCGCCUUGCCAGCCGUGUUUAUACCCACAAGGCUGUGGGCCCAGUAUGCACUUUUCAGCUUUCUUCCACCAGAGCUAAGUAGGUGGCUCUGGCCUAUGCUCUAGUACUUCUCUGUUCUUAAAAGGUCAUUAAUCUAAAACCCAUUGGUAGUCAUUGCCCUUUGUCCCAAAGCCUACAUACUGCUACAAAGUUUUGCGUGCCUCCACGUAUAUCCUGAACCUGAAAGUGAAAAAUGCCUUAAAUUCUGCAUCUAUUCCUAUUAAAAUGAGUAGUUUAUGUUAGUUUAAAAAGAAAAAAACAAACUACACUUCAAACUAUUUUAUACUGAGAGAAAUUUCUUAUUUUAUGCUUUUAUUUUUGGAAUAUGACUACAUCUUGUGUAUAUCACUUAUGGGAAAAUAAUGCUUAAGUUCUGGAAAAAUGAAAGUUAAGUUCAUUGCUUGACUAUGGCAAAUACCAAUAUAAACUCUAACAGAGGACAUAUUUCCACUAACACAAAUUGAAACAUCUACACCAAGUGAUCCAAGCCUGACUUUCUCUUGCUUUCCAUAGUCAUGAAAGAAGUUCAACAUUCCAGUUUUCAACUUUACAACUAAGGAAAACUUCACUAAGUAGAUGCCAAGUUACUCACAUGAAUCACAAGACAUGCUUCUAUCCUUACUUAGCUACUUAUGACUAAGGAGUGUAGUAAGAAUUAUAUAAGGCACAAAAAUUAUAUAAGGAAUAUCACAUACCAGAUAAAGAAGUAAAUGGUUUACAAGUGAGAAAGUCAGCUAACAAGUCUGAUUAUUUACUCUCUCCACUACCUUCAGCUAACAUUCCAAUGUCAAACAGGGCUCCUUCCUCAAUCACACAGUAGACUUUCCAAGGGCAUCCGAUCAGAUUGGCCAAUGACCUCCCUUAAGAGUACAUUCUUGGUAACAUAGUAACACCUCUUGUCUACAAACUAACUAAAGUCAGUCACUUUCAAGGGAAUGUUGAAAGUGAGGAUGUUUUGGAAUGCAUGCUACAAAUGGCUACACUGCCCCCAAUCCUCAGCACCCACAUAGCUCAGCCUCAGGUUAAGGAAAGAGGAUGUCAAGGACGGAGACACAAACAGAACUCAGC
Molecule: long non-coding RNA, 1534 nt
Organism: Perognathus longimembris pacificus (Pacific pocket mouse)
Lineage: Eukaryota; Metazoa; Chordata; Mammalia; Rodentia; Heteromyidae
Exons: 3
Source: RefSeq, a predicted model, not a curated record